Molecule: ribosomal RNA, 497 nt
Filed under: uncultured bacterium
Lineage: Bacteria
Description: partial 16S ribosomal RNA
Rfam family: Bacterial small subunit ribosomal RNA
Source: RNAcentral
GAUGAACGCUGGCGGCGUGCCUAAUACAUGCGAGUCGAGCGAACGGACGCGAAGCUUGCUUCUCUGUUGUUAGCGGCGGACGGGUGUGUAACACGUGGAUACCCUACCUAUAAGACUGGGAUAUCUUCGGGACACCGGCGCUAAUACCGUAUAAUCUUUUGAACCGCAUGGUUCAAAAGUGAAAGACGGUCUUGCUGUCACUUAUAGAUGGAUACGCGCUGCAGUAGCUAGUUGGUAAGGUAACGGCUUACCAAGGCAACGAUGCCUGGCCGACGUGAGAGGGGGAUCGGCCACACUGGAACUGAGACACGGUCCAGACGCCUACGGGAGGCAGCAGUAGGGAAUCGGCCGCAAUGGGCGAAAGCCUGACGGAGCAACGCCGCGUGAGUGAUGAAGGUCUUCGGAUCGGAAAACUCUGUUAUUAGGGAAGAACAUAUGUGGAAGUAACUGUGCACAUCGUGACGGUACCGAAUCAGAAAGCCACGGCUAACUACGUG